GCUGUCUUAGUUUAAGAAAAACGCUACAUUGUGGCUGUAGAAAUAAAGGUAAUUUAGUCAGUU
RNAcentral lists this transfer RNA (63 nucleotides) under Pseudocardium sachalinense (Sakhalin surf clam). Its description in RNAcentral is "tRNA-His". It matches the Rfam family "tRNA". From Rfam's summary of the family: Transfer RNA (tRNA) molecules are approximately 80 nucleotides in length. Their secondary structure includes four short double-helical elements and three loops (D, anti-codon, and T loops). Lineage: Eukaryota; Metazoa; Mollusca; Bivalvia; Venerida; Mactridae. The record is from RNAcentral.